GGACUGUAGCUCAGUGGCAGAGUGCUUGCCUAGCAUGUGUGAAGCACUGGGUUCAAUCCUCAGCACCA
RNAcentral lists this transfer RNA (68 nucleotides) under Marmota monax (woodchuck). RNAcentral's name for it is "tRNA.Ala". The record is from RNAcentral. Lineage: Eukaryota; Metazoa; Chordata; Mammalia; Rodentia; Sciuridae.